UUACGCAAUAGGACAGUUAACAUGCGCUGCCUGCUAAUUAUCUAUAGACUGUUUCAACUUGUGAAUUUCAAAUUAUUCUCUAACAAGUUUUAUUUUCUAACAACAGUUUGAAUUGAGGUGUGUUCCACCUGCUCAUUAAUUCACAUAGAAGUAGCCCAUUUCAGCAUUGCGGGCAAUUUAUGUCUGAGGCUUUACUGAGCCAGACAAACUUCUCUCUUCGAAGAGAGCCCACGCACUUCACUAAUGUUUCCGCAGAUCAAGUAUGCAGACAUUUGCACAGUCUUGCACGAAUUGACACAUUUUCUGGCUGGCGCUUGCGUUGCCCUACUUAUUAUUUGUAAGGAAAAAAAUUACUUUGGACAUGUAUGCUUUCCUAUCAAAGUACCCUCUCUGCUGAUCACGUCUGCCACUCACGUUCUCCGUAUCGAAGGUACAAAACACAGCUGAUGACAUGGGUAAAGUUAUGAGAAUCUACCGUCUGAAUUUGCAGCAAUACCCCUUCACCCAAGGCCUGUACAUGAAACGAUACAAGAUCACCGGUGAAGUGUUCAUUAGAGACAUCCUUAUCAACCAGUGGAACGGAAGAAUAAUUCCUCACUACCGACAGACUGUCAUAACAUAUUCUCUAAUAGUUAUCUAUGUGGGGCUGAUACCAGGGGGGGGGGGGGGGGGGGACGAACAGCUGAUCAUACUUAAAAGGACUCUGAAUGAUUACCUUGCCAAUAGGACGAUUGAAUAUUAUUGUCUUGCAGACAAAUAUUUUUGGGUGAGUUUCCUCCCAAUACAGGCUGUGGUAGGAAUCGUAAGGGUCAUCAUCAUUAGACCUGUUAAUACCUAUUUUCUAUAACUUUGUGUGAAAUAUAUUUCUUACUGCAACAGCAAGUAAAAUAUGCCCUGUGUGUUUUAUAGUAAUGCAAGGUGUUUUAUGGGAAUGAUUUUAUGCUCCCUGCUAAUGUUAUUUAUACUGUCUAUUUUUUCAUGUUUUCUGAAAAUACAUUUGAAGUAUAUUUAUUUUUUAAAUGGUCUAAGGGAAGUGUAAGAAUAUUCUAAGAUAAAUACACAACGCAGAGGACUAAAGGUCAAGAGGGAAUUAAUGAUCAAUGGAAAUAGUUGUUUUUCUGUAAUGGGGAAGUGAAGAUUAAUGGGUCAGGGACACGGGAGGAAUCAGUCCAGGACUCAUAGCUACAUGUGGCAAGUUCUCAAUGGUCCGAAUCCCCUAUACAUUGAGCCUGAAAUGGGAUACUUGUUAUUUGAGCAUUGGCCCAAUUUUAAUGCAAGGAAUUCUAAUUGAACAACCACAGGCUAGGGUUGGGUUAUAAACUACAUCCUGUCUCUUUGUUCAGAGGAGAAACCAUUGAGGACAGGGAAGAAUGAACAUCUGCCAUCUACUUCCCAGCAUAAACUAUGAUUUGUUUUCUUUGAAUAAAUAUAUUUUCUCCCCCUGA
This is a long non-coding RNA of Oncorhynchus nerka (sockeye salmon), 1445 nucleotides long. RefSeq lists it as uncharacterized. NCBI's taxonomy places the organism in Eukaryota, Metazoa, Chordata, Actinopteri, Salmoniformes, Salmonidae. The transcript is spliced from 3 exons. The record is from RefSeq and is a predicted model, not a curated record.